RNAcentral lists this ribosomal RNA (372 nucleotides) under uncultured organism. Its description in RNAcentral is "partial 16S ribosomal RNA". It matches the Rfam family "Bacterial small subunit ribosomal RNA", at positions 527 to 896 of the family's 1533-position model. The record is from RNAcentral.
GUAGGUGGCAAGCGUUGUCCGGAAUUAUUGGGCGUAAAGCGCGCGCAGGCGGUUCUUUAAGUCUGAUGUGAAAGCCCACGGGCUCAACCGUGGAGGGUCAUUGGAAACUGGAGAACUUGAGUACAGAAGAGGAAAGCGGAAUUCCACGUGUAGCGGUGAAAUGCGUAGAGAUGUGGAGGAACACCAGUGGCGAAGGCGGCUUUCUGUCUGUAACUGACGCUGAGGCGCGAAAGCGUGGGGAGCAAACAGGAUUAGAUACCCUGGUAGUCCACGCCGUAAACGAUGAGUGCUAAGUGUUAGGGGGUUUCCGCCCCUUAGUGCUGCAGCUAACGCAUUAAGCACUCCGCCUGGGGAGUACGGCCGCAAAGGCUG